Molecule: ribosomal RNA, 776 nt
Filed under: uncultured Funneliformis
Lineage: Eukaryota; Fungi; Glomeromycota; Glomeromycetes; Glomerales; Glomeraceae
Description: SSU rRNA
Rfam family: Eukaryotic small subunit ribosomal RNA
Source: RNAcentral
GGCCUACCAUGGUNNNAACNGGUAACGGGGUGUUAGGGCACGACACCGGAGAGGGAGCCUGAGAAACGGCUACCACAUCCAAGGAAGGCAGCAGGCGCGCAAAUUACCCAAUCCCGACACGGGGAGGUAGUGACAAUAAAUAACAAUACAGGGUUCUUUUGGAUCUUGUAAUUGGAAUGAGUACAAUUUAAAUCUCUUAACGAGGAACAAUUGGAGGGCAAGUCUGGUGCCAGCAGCCGCGGUAAUUCCAGCUCCAAUAGCGUAUAUUAAAGUUGUUGCAGUUAAAAAGCUCGUAGUUGAAUUUCGGGAUCAAUAUUUCGGUCAUGCCGUUGGUAUGCACUGUUAUCAUUGAUUUCUCACCUUCUAAAGAACCGUAAUGCCAUUAAUUUGGUGUUACGGGGAAUUAGGACUGUUACCUUGAAAAAAUUAGAGUGUUUAAAGCAGGCUCACGCUUGAAUACAUUAGCAUGGAAUAAUGAAAUAGGACAUCCGAUUCUAUUUUGUUGGUUUCUAGGAUCGAUGUAAUGAUUAAUAGGGAUAGUUGGGGGCAUUAGUAUUCAAUUGUCAGAGGUGAAAUUCUUGGAUUUAUUGAAGACUAACUACUGCGAAAGCACUUGCCAAGGAUGUUUUCAUUAAUCAAGAACGAAAGUUAGGGGAUCGAAGACGAUCAGAUACCGUCGUAGUCUUAACCAUAAACUAUGCCGACUAGGGAUCGGAUGAUGUUAAUUUUUUAAUGACUCAUUCGGCGCCUUACGGGAAACCAAAGUGUUUGGGUUC